AAUAAGAUAAUUUUUCAGUUUUUAGAUAUAAUAUUUUGAUUCUUCAUCUUAUUUAAAAUUUUUUGUGAUUAAUAUUUUUAUUAUUACUAGAUGAUAAAAUAUGAAUAAUACUUAUACGUGACUAAUUUUUUUAAGUUUUCUUACAAUUUUUAAAAAUAAGACAAAUAGUCAAAGUAUUAGGCACAGAAAUCGAAAAAUGGGACAGGG
RNAcentral lists this microRNA precursor (207 nucleotides) under Oryza brachyantha (malo sina). Its description in RNAcentral is "MIR812 microRNA precursor family". The record is from Rfam by way of RNAcentral. Lineage: Eukaryota; Viridiplantae; Streptophyta; Magnoliopsida; Poales; Poaceae.